GAUAAGCCCGCGGCCUAUCAGCUAGUUGGUGAGGUAACGGCUCACCAAGGCUAAGACGGGUAGCUGGUCUGAGAGGACGACCAGCCACACUGGAACUGAGACACGGUCCAGACACCUACGGGUGGCAGCAGUCGAGAAUUUUUCACAAUGGGCGCAAGCCUGAUGGAGCGACGCCGCGUGGGGGAUGAAGGGCUUCGGCCCGUAAACCCCUGUCAUUUGCGAACAAACCUUGCUAUUUAAAAGAUGGCGAGUUGAUGGUAGCGAAAGAGGAAGGGACGGCUAACUCUGUGCCAGCAGCCGCGGUAAUACAGAGGUCCCGAGCGUUGUUCGGAUUCACUGGGCGUAAAGGGUGCGUAGGUGGUGAGGUAAGUCGGAUGUGAAAGCUCCGAGCUCAACUCGGAAAUGGCAUUGGAAACUACCUUGCUGGAGGGUUUGAGGGGGGACUGGAAUUCUCGGUGUAGCAGUGAAAUGCGUAGAUAUCGAGAGG
This 487-nucleotide ribosomal RNA is filed under the name uncultured Verrucomicrobiota bacterium. RNAcentral's name for it is "bacterial SSU rRNA". It matches the Rfam family "Bacterial small subunit ribosomal RNA", at positions 224 to 704 of the family's 1533-position model. The record is from RNAcentral. Lineage: Bacteria; Pseudomonadati; Verrucomicrobiota.